CUCACAAGUCAUAAAAUUCCCAAUUUACAAACCACAGUCACAAAUUCACAAAAUUUACAAAUUUCCCAAUUUUCAUAAAUCAUAAUCAUCACGUUUAACAUAAUAAUCAAAUUAAGGCAUCAAAAUGAAAAGGAAAAAAAAAACAGAAUAGCUCACCAGACACCAAGGCAAGAAGUCUCACUCGCAGUCACAGCCACUGGUGAUCGACUCACCGUCCACUCAACUCGCAUGCCGCACGGUCGUACCACUCUAGUGACUCCACCGUCCACCUCCUCGUCGCUCACGGUCACAGGCCACACACGUUCACCAGUCACCGUCCACUCAACUCACACCACUCUGCCAGGCACCAGUCCAUAGUCCACUGCCUUCACAGUCGCAAAUCCAAUCACCCUUUUCCCAGUUUCGGUUCAGCCCUUGGUUUAUUAGUUUCAAUUUUGGACUUCAAAUUGGUGAAGGCAACGGAAAUAUACUCCAACCAUCCAUUAAUUUCAAAGAUUUGGGCCACUGGAUUUGGGCCUCAUUUUUUUUAAAAAAAGGCACAAAAAUGAGAAAAAAAUAGGCCCAAUUGCCAUCGUCUUCUUCAUCAGUUCUUCAGCCUCUGCAGCUCCUUUACCUCCUUUCCGAUUUUCUUCCCAGCGGACCGGCUGCUAAGCCUGCUAUUCUGUAGAUUCCAGCAAAGCCAGCACGGACGGCCGCGUAAGCUCGCCAAGUGCUGGCUUCGCCACUGGUCACUGAUGUUUACAAACUUGCAAAAACGGUCACCCAAAU
Molecule: long non-coding RNA, 768 nt
Filed under: Olea europaea subsp. europaea
Lineage: Eukaryota; Viridiplantae; Streptophyta; Magnoliopsida; Lamiales; Oleaceae
Source: RNAcentral